RNAcentral lists this ribosomal RNA (752 nucleotides) under uncultured bacterium. RNAcentral describes it as "bacterial SSU rRNA". It matches the Rfam family "Bacterial small subunit ribosomal RNA", at positions 8 to 796 of the family's 1533-position model. The record is from RNAcentral.
AGAGUUUGAUCAUGGCUCAGAACGAACGCUGGCGGCAUGCCUAACACAUGCAAGUCGAACGGGAUCCAGGCUUCGGCCUGGUGAGAGUGGCGGACGGGUGAGUAACGCGUGGGAACCUGCCCAAUGGUCUGGGAUAACCGCGGGAAACUGCGGCUAAUACCGGAUAAGCCCGAGAGGGGAAAGAUUUAUCGCCGAUGGAGGGGCCCGCGUCAGAUUAGGUAGUUGGUGGGGUAAUGGCCUACCAAGCCUACGAUCUGUAGCUGGUCUGAGAGGAUGAUCAGCCACACUGGGACUGAGAUACGGCCCAGACUCCUACGGGAGGCAGCAGUGGGGAAUAUUGGACAAUGGGGGCAACCCUGAUCCAGCAAUGCCGCGUGAGUGAUGAAGGCCUUAGGGUUGUAAAGCUCUUUUGGCGGGGACGAUGAUGACGGUACCCGCAGAAUAAGCCCCGGCUAACUUCGUGCCAGCAGCCGCGGUAAUACGAAGGGGGCGAGCGUUGUUCGGAAUUACUGGGCGUAAAGGGCGCGUAGGCGGCCGAUCAAGUUAGAUGUGAAAGUCCUGGGCUUAACCUGGGGACUGCAUUUGAUACUGAUUGGCUUGAAUUCGGGAGAGGAUAGCGGAAUUCCCAGUGUAGAGGUGAAAUUCGUAGAUAUUGGGAAGAACACCGGUGGCGAAGGCGGCUAUCUGGACCGACAUUGACGCUGAGGCGCGAAAGCGUGGGGAGCAAACAGGAUUAGAUACCCUCGUAGUCC